AUUGAAUUUUUUUAUCUAUAAUAUUUUCUUCCAUGAUAUCAAGAAAAAUGUUGUUUUGCUUCAAACCACAAUGUGCAAUGUAUAUGUCAUAUAAGUAAUACAUUUCUUUUGCAAUUUGAGACAUAGCAUUAAUUAGAAAAAUAUAAGUUUCUUGUCCAUUUUCUUCAAGCAUCUUGCUUAAAUUUUUUUUGGAUCAAUUCUAUAUCCAAAUAUGAGUGUUUUUUUAAUUUAUAGACAUAUAAUAUUAAUAUCUUUUAUUUACAUUAGUUUCAUUGCAAAAUUAUAUUUUAUCAAGUUGGAAUGGCUUUAACUUGCUAGAAUACUCACAUCUUUCUUAAAAAGUUUCUCAAAUUUAAUAUCUAUCUUUGUAGUCGCACACACAUGUUGCAACCACUUUGACUUAUAAACCUUUCUACUAGC
RNAcentral lists this long non-coding RNA (420 nucleotides) under Physcomitrium patens. RNAcentral describes it as "long non-coding RNA (PPAT_LNC012565)". Lineage: Eukaryota; Viridiplantae; Streptophyta; Bryopsida; Funariales; Funariaceae. The record is from RNAcentral.